Molecule: long non-coding RNA, 367 nt
Filed under: Olea europaea (common olive)
Lineage: Eukaryota; Viridiplantae; Streptophyta; Magnoliopsida; Lamiales; Oleaceae
Description: long non-coding RNA (OEUR_LNC000749)
Source: RNAcentral
ACUGCCCUCAUAGAAUCACUAAGAUUCAUACACAAUCAACAGAGAAGAGCACCCUACUAUAUGCAUCUAUAGUAUUACACGAUUUCCCAGAUUUACUUGCUGAAAACACUCAAGAAUCGACCCUAAUCCACAAAGGAGAAGGAAGUCUUCACCGAGAAGAGAGAACCCAAGAAGCCCUCUCUAAAACCAAGAAUAAAGUCUCUCUCACAAAUCUGAAAAUCACCAAAAAUGGAGUCUCCACAUAGGAAGAAAACGGUCAGCAAUCUGACCGAAAAACCUAGAAUAUUUCUCCCGAAAAUAUCCAAAAUAAAAGACCUUAAAUCACCAAGAAGAAGGUCUUUUUCGCAGGGAAGAAAGAGAGAGCAGA